RNAcentral lists this ribosomal RNA (255 nucleotides) under uncultured bacterium. RNAcentral's name for it is "partial 16S ribosomal RNA". It matches the Rfam family "Bacterial small subunit ribosomal RNA", at positions 100 to 354 of the family's 1533-position model. The record is from RNAcentral.
GGACGGGUGAGUAACACGUGAGCAACCUGCCUUCGAGAGGGGAAUAACGGCUGGAAACGGUCGCUAAUACCGCAUAACAUACCGGGAGGACAUCCUGCUGGUAUCAAAGAUUUUAUCGCUCGAAGAUGGGCUCGCGUCCGAUUAGGUAGUUGGUGAGGUAACGGCUCACCAAGCCGACGAUCGGUAGCCGGACUGAGAGGUUGAACGGCCACAUUGGGACUGAGACACGGCCCAGACUCCUACGGAAGGCAGCAG